AACUUUGAGCGGUGGAUCACUCGGCUCGUGUGUCGAUGAAGAGUGCAACCAACUGUAUGAAUUAAUGUGAACUGUAUACUGCUUUGAACAUCGACAUCUUGAACGCACAUUGCGGUUACGGGGUAUCCUGUGUCCACACCUGUCCGAGGGUCG
This 153-nucleotide ribosomal RNA is filed under the name Schistosoma mansoni. RNAcentral's name for it is "5.8S ribosomal RNA". It matches the Rfam family "5.8S ribosomal RNA". Rfam says of the family: 5.8S ribosomal RNA (5.8S rRNA) is a component of the large subunit of the eukaryotic ribosome. It is transcribed by RNA polymerase I as part of the 45S precursor that also contains 18S and 28S rRNA. Functionally, it is thought that 5.8S rRNA may be involved in ribosome translocation. The record is from Rfam by way of RNAcentral. Lineage: Eukaryota; Metazoa; Platyhelminthes; Trematoda; Strigeidida; Schistosomatidae.